This 310-nucleotide ribosomal RNA is filed under the name uncultured bacterium. RNAcentral describes it as "bacterial SSU rRNA". It matches the Rfam family "Bacterial small subunit ribosomal RNA", at positions 30 to 334 of the family's 1533-position model. The record is from RNAcentral.
AUUGAACGCUGGCGGCAUGCUUUACACAUGCAAGUCGAACGGCAGCACAGGGAGCUUGCUCCCGGGUGGCGAGUGGCGCACGGGUGAGUAACACGUAUCCAACCUGCCUUAUACUCGGGGAUAGCCUUUCGAAAGAAAGAUUAAUACCCGAUGUUAUAGUCUAACCGCAUGAUUUGACUAUAAAAGAUUUUCGGUAUAAGAUGGGGAUGCGUUCCAUUAGAUUGUAGGCGGGGUAACGGCCCACCUAGUCUUCGAUGGAUAGGGGUUCUGAGAGGAAGGUCCCCCACAUUGGAACUGAGGCACGGUCCAA